UGGCGGAGGGGGGGGUAACGGCGGAAUCGUCGCAUCAUCAGUGUUGCAGGAGACCUUUAAGGUCGUCGAGUCCAACCGUGAACCCAGUACCGCUGCCGACUGCUGUAACCCAUAAAUCACUGUAGUCCCUAAAUCACUCAACCCCUAAAACGCAUCACCCAGCGCCAGAUCCAGAUGUCUCUUAAACACCCCGCAGGGAUGGUGACUUCACCACCUCCCUGGGGCAAUCUGUGCCAAUGCCUGGCCACCCCGAACACUGAAAAAUUGUUUUUCUGAUAACUAAUCUGAAUCUAUCUAAUCUGAAUUUCUAAUGUCUAAUCUGUCUGGCUUCUCUCAGCCUGGGGCCGUGUCCUCUGGUCCUCUCACUGCAGGCAUGGUGGAAGAGACCGGCCCCCACCUCACUACAACCCCUUUUCAGUCUGUUGUAUGAAGUCCCUCCUGAGCCUCCUCUUCUUCUCCAGGCUAAACAAACCCGUCUCCCUCAGCUGCUCUUCAUAAGAGUGCAAGGAAAAGGCAUUUUGAGGGACUGCUCUGCUGCCGGCAGAUCCUCUUUACAAGGCCUUGUGUGUUGAGUGUUGCUACAGAAAAAAAAAAAAAAAAACCUGAGUUUUUUUGGUUUGUUUUGGUUUGUUUUUUCGGUGUUUUGGUUUUUGUUUUUUAUUUGGGUUUUUUUUUGCUACUAACCCAGAACUGAUUCUGGGUGAUAAUAUAUACUUUGGUUUUUUCUGUAUGAUUUCACAAAUGAUCGAUCGUGUGACAAUUUCCGGUCCUGGGUCAGGUCAGCUGCAACUGUGUGGCCACAGCAAAGGCAUGAAAAGUCUUGAAAAGCCCCAAGGAUGGGGAUUCCUAAGUAUGAACAAAGGAGCAGAGAAUAAACCUCUGAAUAGUAAGGCUGAAACACCUUAAUAAACCUGAGGUUUAUUGCUCUACUACAGCUACUGCUGUUAACAACAGUCACAUUUGCUCCUUCGGGCCUCUUCCCGGGGAAAGGCUCCUGAAAGCUGCCAGAGCUGUCCUUGUUCUCCCACACACCCUCUGCUUAGGCUGGUCCCCCUCAGCCAUAAGCUGUAUAUAUAUUUAUGUCACAUAUAUAUAUGUACUUUUAUAAGCUGUGCUGCCGGAGCCCUUGCUUCUUAAGCUUUCUUCCUCGUGUGACUUCUGCUUUCUGCAAAAGGGGAAAAAAAAAAUCUUGGCAGGGAGAAAGCUCAGCACAAGCACAAGGAGCCUUUGGAAAUGUAGCUUUGAGAGGUGCCUGCUCUCCCUGUGUCCUGGCUGUUAUUUUCCUUAGGUUUUUAAUGUUAUAUUGCAAGACGCUAUCCAGGCUUGAAGCUGUUAAGUAAAGAAUCGCAGAAUCACAGAAUAUUUAGGGUUGGAAGGGACCUCUGGAGAUCAUCUAGUCCAACCCCCAUACUUAACAGAUUUUUAGAGUACUGUGUUUCAGUACUGUUAAUAGUUAAUUAUACAAAACUAAAGGAGUUGUGCAGGGAUGAGAUAAUUCUUAGAAGUGUAUGCAUGUAUCUUUGUGGUUUCAUGACAGUAGUUAGUGCUUUGUACCUUGGACAGUCUAAAAAAUAAAGCAACUGAUACAGCUGAAUGCAAACUCAGAUUAAAGAUGUAGUCUUAGUAACCCCUUUGAGGUAAGAUUUAGGGCAAUGCAACUGCUUGCAUAAGUAAGGCUGACCCUCGGGGAGUGAUCUCUAUAUAUUAUGAAGUUUUAAGUAGGCCAAAUGACGCCUUUAAAAACCUCUGUGAAGGAUAAAAUAAAAUAGUGAAUAAAGAUGGAUUGAUUUCACAUUCCCUUUGCUGUUUUUCCCUUUCUGUGCUCUCUCUGCUGAAUGUGUUUAUUUUGGAGCACCAUGACACAGCGCAUAACACUGUGACAAAUGAAGUGGUGAUGUGAAAAUAAUAAUUACAUAUAAAAUAUUGUUGUGUUAAAACUGCCAAAAAGAAGAUUUGGUACCAUGUUGAUGUUGUUUUUCAGGCAUUUGCUAUUUGGCUUCCAACAGCUAGACACUUUGCCAGGAAAAUUCAAAUUAAUUCUGCCAGCUUCAAGCUCCUUCUGGAAAAGGAACUGCCUUGUCACUGUUGCCCUAUUUGUGGGAGUCUGAGCUGAUCUAAGAUUAGCAAAGGUUACCUUAAGAGUUCAUGGAGGAACCUGAAAUCUUGAAAUCGAAUGCUGAUGCACAACUGCUAAGAUGAAUAGGGAAUAUCCCAUAUGGAUGGCUGCUCAGGAACCUGGAUAAAUGAAGGGUGACCGUGGAGUUCAAGAACAGAUCAGAAGUUGUUCUCAUCUGAAAGAUUGAAGCAAAGCACAGCAAUAAACGAGCAGUUCUUAGAAA
Molecule: long non-coding RNA, 2339 nt
Organism: Pseudopipra pipra
Lineage: Eukaryota; Metazoa; Chordata; Aves; Passeriformes; Pipridae
Exons: 2
Source: RefSeq, a predicted model, not a curated record